GAUGAACGCUGGCGGCGUGCCUAAUACAUGCAAGUCGAGCGAACAGAUGAGGAGCUUGCUCCUCUGACGUUAGCGGCGGACGGGUGAGUAACACGUGGAUAACCUACCUAUAAGACUGGGAUAACUUCGGGAAACCGGAGCUAAUACCGGAUAAUAUAUUGAACCGCAUGGUUCAAUAGUGAAAGACGGUUUUGCUGUCACUUAUAGAUGGAUCCGCGCCGCAUUAGCUAGUUGGUAAGGUAACGGCUUACCAAGGCAACGAUGCGUAGCCGACCUGAGAGGGUGAUCGGCCACACUGGAACUGACACACGGUCCAGGCUCCGACGGGAGGCCGCAGUAGGGAAUCUUCCGCAAUGGGCGAAAGCCUGACGGAGCAACGCCGCGUGAGUGAUGAAGGUCCUCGGAUCGUAAAACUCUGUUAUUAGGGAAGAACAAAUGUGUAAGUAACGAUGCACGUCUUGACGGUACCUAUCAGAAAGCCACGGCUAACUACGUG
This 496-nucleotide ribosomal RNA is filed under the name uncultured bacterium. RNAcentral describes it as "partial 16S ribosomal RNA". It matches the Rfam family "Bacterial small subunit ribosomal RNA", at positions 28 to 507 of the family's 1533-position model. The record is from RNAcentral.